CCUGGCGGCGAUAGCGCGGUGGUCCCACCUGACCCCAUGCCGAACUCAGAAGUGAAACGCCGUAGCGCCGAUGGUAGUGUGGGGCUUCCCCAUGUGAGAGUAGGGAACUGCCAGG
RNAcentral lists this ribosomal RNA (115 nucleotides) under Pectobacterium carotovorum. Lineage: Bacteria; Pseudomonadati; Pseudomonadota; Gammaproteobacteria; Enterobacterales; Pectobacteriaceae. The record is from RNAcentral. RNAcentral also lists the same sequence under 5 other names.